RNAcentral lists this non-coding RNA (789 nucleotides) under Pongo abelii (Sumatran orangutan). The record is from RNAcentral. Lineage: Eukaryota; Metazoa; Chordata; Mammalia; Primates; Hominidae.
CCCGCCGCCCUUCUGGACUUUUAUCGAGGCAUGUACAUUAAUACGAAAGAGAGUUUGCCAUUUACCUGCAAGAUUGAGGGCGACAACGUAAGAGGAAUGGUUUUAAGUGACGCGUCCGGCUUCUUACUCCCACUGAAGGGUGAAGGUGCCCCAGGUGGACCUGGUUUGGAUUCUGAUGUAAAGAAACCGACUUCAAAACAUUUGGGCCAAUCAGGAAAAUACGAAAACUCUGACUACAUAUUUAGUGAUAUCUAGAAUUAUUGUUAAUAGUUUAAGGUGAUAGAGGCUAUGUUCCUAAGUGAAGAAUGAAGUAGUGGCAGUUCCAUCAGAUGCUUAGAGCCAGAGACAGUCCUAAGAAACAGUGGAAAAGAAAUCCGGUGGAGAAAUUCUGAGCAAUAGGAAUUUUCUCUGAAGAUCACUUGGAAGUGCCCCAUGAGAAAACCACUAGCUUCAAACCCUGCCAAGCCCAGAGAAUGCCUUACACUAAAAUAGAUCAUCAUAAAAUUAAUAGCCCCUGAAACACUGCCUGGCUCAGAGUUGGCGCUUGUUAAAAUUUUGAGGAAGCAAGCAAGCAAGCAAGCACAUGGGAGGAUACCAAAACAUGGCAGUGAAAGGAGCUAAACACACAAAAGAAAAGACGGAGUUCCUCUCUUGUUGCCCAAGCUGGAGUGCAGUGGCACGAUCUCAGCUCACCGCAACCUCCGCCUCCCAGAUUCAAGCGAUUCUCCUGCCUCAGCCUCCUGAGUAGCUGGGAUUACAGGCCCCCAUCACACGCCCGGCUAACUGUAU